This 502-nucleotide ribosomal RNA is filed under the name uncultured bacterium. RNAcentral describes it as "bacterial SSU rRNA". It matches the Rfam family "Bacterial small subunit ribosomal RNA", at positions 28 to 528 of the family's 1533-position model. The record is from RNAcentral.
GAUGAACGCUAGCUACAGGCUUAACACAUGCAAGUCGAGGGGCAGCGCAGUGUAGCAAUACAUGGGCGGCGACCGGCGCACGGGUGCGUAACGCGUAUCCAACCUUCCCGAUACUCUUGGAUAGCCUUCCGAAAGGGAGAUUAAUACAAGAUGGUGUUUCACUUUCGCAUGUUAUUGAAACUAAAGAUUUAUCGGUAUCGGAUGGGGAUGCGUGACAUUAGAUAGUAGGCGGGGUAACGGCCCACCUAGUCUACGAUGCAUAGGGGUUCUGAGAGGAAGGUCCCCCANACUGGUACUGAGACACGGACCAGACUCCUACGGGAGGCAGCAGUGAGGAAUAUUGGGUCAAUGGUCGAGAGACUGAACCAGCCAAGUCGCGUGAAGGAAGACGGUUCUAUGGAUUGUAAACUUCUUUAGUCGGGGAGCAAAAAGAGUGACGAGUCACUAAUUGAGCGUACCCGAAGAAUAAGCAUCGGCUAACUCCGUGCCAGCAGCCGUACGG